This 448-nucleotide long non-coding RNA is filed under the name Brassica napus (rape). RNAcentral describes it as "long non-coding RNA (BNAP_LNC022066)". Lineage: Eukaryota; Viridiplantae; Streptophyta; Magnoliopsida; Brassicales; Brassicaceae. The record is from RNAcentral.
UGAAAAUAACUUUACAAAAUCAGUUUAUGGUUAUUUAAAAAAGUGUGAGAAAAGAGGAGCGUACGUACCCGUGUAGACUUUGUCCAUAUAUAUAAGCUUUGAUCUUCUUUGCAUUAUUAACAUCAUUCGCCUUUCCACUAGCAGAUUUGUCUCUUAGCCAAUAAAAGAAACAAAUACAAGAAGAGAGUUAAAACAAGCAAAAGGAUCAAAGGAAACAAAAACAUAAAAGCAAGUAAGAAAGAAUCUACGCACAAAACAAGAGGGAAAAUUGCUUCAUUAGGAGAUUGAUUACGAAGAACUAAAUGCUCAUAAGUGCCAAGACAAAAGAAAUAUACAAUCGCUAACCGGAUGUUAGAAAUAUACAAUCUCUAACUAUCACUAACCGGAUGUAACUCCUAAUACUUUUCACAAAUUACACAUUAAGUUUUCAUUAUCAACCAAAUAAUUU